RNAcentral lists this unclassified non-coding RNA (396 nucleotides) under Bombus terrestris (buff-tailed bumblebee). Its description in RNAcentral is "misc RNA ENSBTSG00005021084.1". Lineage: Eukaryota; Metazoa; Arthropoda; Insecta; Hymenoptera; Apidae. The record is from RNAcentral.
AGCGUAUGAUCGGGAAAAAGGUGUAAACGCAAGUGGAACAACAAAUGGUUGCAUGAACCUUUACCAGCCUCUGGAGACGCGUGGUUGUUGGCUUGGGUGGAAAACUACACCGGAUAUAAGCAAUGGAUAAGAAAGUUCCGCGGCUCUAUGAAAAAUGCAACGCUCGAGUUAUCGUCGAGGUAACAGCUUUCUGGAUAACUGGUACACUUUUGUACAAGUGUAAAUGUUCGUUGAAGCAGCCAUCGCGAGAAGAUUAGAAAAUUCCAAUGAGCGCAGUUGCGAAUGGCCUACUAAAUGGAAGGGAAAUUUCGAAACUAAACCUAUUUCAACUACGACCGGCCAAAUGCGAGUCUCCAUACGUGGCGGAGGUCACCGUAUAGAUUCAGGGACCUUGAU